UACGAAGGGGGCUAGCGUUGCUCGGAAUCACUGGGCGUAAAGGGCGCGUAGGCGGCCACCGCAAGUCGACUGUGAAAUCUCCGGGCUUAACCCGGAAAGGUCAGCCGAUACUGCGGGGCUAGAGUGCAGAAGGGGCAACUGGAAUUCUCGGUGUAGCGGUGAAAUGCGUAGAUAUCGAGAGGAACACCUGCGGCGAAGGCGGGUUGCUGGGCUGACACUGACGCUGAGGCGCGAAAGCUAGGGGAGCGAACGGG
This 254-nucleotide ribosomal RNA is filed under the name uncultured bacterium. RNAcentral's name for it is "partial 16S ribosomal RNA". It matches the Rfam family "Bacterial small subunit ribosomal RNA", at positions 524 to 776 of the family's 1533-position model. The record is from RNAcentral.